This 253-nucleotide ribosomal RNA is filed under the name uncultured bacterium. Its description in RNAcentral is "partial 16S ribosomal RNA". It matches the Rfam family "Bacterial small subunit ribosomal RNA", at positions 524 to 776 of the family's 1533-position model. The record is from RNAcentral.
UACAGAGGGUGCAAGCGUUACUCGGAAUUACUGGGCGUAAAGGGCGCGUAGGCGGUUCUAUAAGUUGGUUGUGAAAUCCCUGGGCUUAACCUAGGAAUGGCAACUGAAACUGUAGAGCUGGAGUGCUGUAGAGGGUAGUGGAAUUUCCGGUGUAGCGGUGAAAUGCGUAGAUAUCGGAAGGAACACCAGUGGCGAAGGCGGCUACCUGGACAGACACUGACGCUGAGGCGCGAGAGCGUGGGGAGCAAACAGG